GAAAUGCGAUACGUAAUGCGAAUUGCAGAAUUCAGUGAAUCAUCAAAUCUUUGAACGCAAAUUGCGCUCUUGGGUAGCCCUAGGAGCACGCCUCUCUCAGUAUCGGUUCAACCUCUCUCAGCAACGUGCAUUGGUAACACAAUGCGCGUGUUGGCUGGACAAUGAGAGUCUGAGUGCUUGUCACUUAGUCUCUUGAAGUGCAUGGAGUGAUUUGAUAACUACCGAUCAGCUCUGCCUCGGCAGAUAGGCAGCCACGUGCUGUUGCUCGCUAGUGACGUGAAUAUUGGCCUGCGUGGUCUUAUUGAACGUUUAUCUUUCGAGCAAUACUCAAGUGCGGGACUGUUGAACGAUCGAGCUUAGUAGACAAAUCGCGUUGGAAGACCAUAUGAAGUUGGAAGCCUGCGUGGCAACCAGCCUCUGAUUUUUGAUCUGAGAUGAAGCGAGACAACCCCCUGAAUUUAAGC
RNAcentral lists this unclassified non-coding RNA (464 nucleotides) under plant metagenome. Its description in RNAcentral is "partial contains 5.8S ribosomal RNA and internal transcribed spacer 2". The stretch from base 1 to 105 matches the Rfam family "5.8S ribosomal RNA", at positions 50 to 154 of the family's 154-position model. The record is from RNAcentral.